GCACCUCUGCUUGGAAGGAAAAUACCUGGUCUUCAGGUCCAGAAGCAACUACAUCUCUUGUUCCUUUUCAUGCCCCGUGAGGUCUCCACUGCUGCUUGGAAGAUGGAGCACUUUUUAUUUUUAGUAACAAUAUCUCUCAUGCUGGGAUGGAAGCAUCUUAAACCAAUUAAACAUAUUAGAAGAUAACUGUGUGUGGGUUUGGUUCAAGAUCUUCAUUUUCUUCACUCUGUGGCUGCUUGCGUUUACACUGGUGACUCCUUGGAGCCACCCCGAUGAGCUGUGGAGCAGGAGGCUGCUGCGGGGCCUCGGGCUUACUG
Long non-coding RNA from Tyto alba (common barn owl), 317 nucleotides. RefSeq lists it as uncharacterized. The record is from RefSeq and is a predicted model, not a curated record. The transcript is spliced from 3 exons. NCBI's taxonomy places the organism in Eukaryota, Metazoa, Chordata, Aves, Strigiformes, Tytonidae.